Molecule: long non-coding RNA, 7318 nt
Organism: Acinonyx jubatus (cheetah)
Lineage: Eukaryota; Metazoa; Chordata; Mammalia; Carnivora; Felidae
Exons: 8
Source: RefSeq, a predicted model, not a curated record
GGUCCUGCUCCCUUGGAGCUGCCUCCGGCGGUGCCGGACAGCCGGCCUAGGGAAAGCUCGGCCGCUCCGACAUUCCUGUCUUCCGAGCCGAGUCUGCUCUCUCUCCCUGUCUCCUGCUCUCGUUGGGUUAAUCGCUUCAAGAGAUAAAGGAGGGACUGGCGACGCGGAUGAGGGUGGAGAUAAACAGGCAGUUAGGAAGUGGCUACAAGUCGGCGGCGGAAAAGGGCGGACGCACCUGCCUCCGGGGUCCUCAGGGAAGUCACGGGGGCGGUACCCCUUACCCGCUAGGUCUGGCCGGCUGAGGGUGAAUUUCCAGAAUUCUCAAUAACGUUAAUAGAGGUGGAAAUUAUGGCACUUCAAGAGGCUCCGAACCCUUAUUUCAGUGAUCUUGCCUUCAAAUGUGUAUAGGAAUCCCAACACCCAGCACUUAUACUCGGGUAACAGCUCCAUAAGAUCAGAGGAUGCAUCUUCUAUUCACCAAGUGUGUUACAGAAUGUUUGAUGCCUACUGAGCCUUCAGAUAAAUGCUGAAAGACUAAACCUUUCCAAGUUAAGUAUUGAGAUUAAACAUCCCCACAUUUCCUGUAUUCUGAGAUUCCUUUCUAGUAUGAAUUUCUGUGAUGGUGAAUAACAUUAACCCCACUUAUUACUUAUUGCUUAGUUGCACCCAUGGACUCAUUGGUUAGUAAAUAAAAAACUAAAAUUAGGUUGAGAAGAAUCAAUAUGCCCUUUUAUUUUUUAAUAAAGCCUUAAAAUAGUAUUUCAACAGUAUUCUGCAGUUCUCAGUAAAUGGAUCUUGCAGAUCUUCUGUCAAAUUUAUUCCCAAGUAGUUAAUAGCAUGCUCCUUUGUAAAUAGCACUUUUAAAUUGAUAUUUAAUUUUGUGUGCAUGUGUCUACUAUAUAGAAAUAAAGUUGAUUUAUGUUUGUUGAUCAAUCAUGAGAAACACACUUAUUAGUUACAGCAGCAUCUUUUAAGGUAGAUUUCUUUGGAUUUUCUACAUGGAUGAUCAUGUCUGCAAAUCACAAUUUUAUUUCUUUCUUUCCAAUCUGCAUGCCAUUUAUUUGUUUUCUUGUCAUAUUGCACUGGCCAAGACCCAUCAGUAUAAUGUUGGAUAGAAGAAAUGAGAUCGGAUACCCUGUUUUGUUUCUGAUCUUAGGGGAAAAGCAUAAAGUUUUUCACUAAAUAUUGUGUUACCUUUAGGUUUUUUGCUAGAUGCCUUUUAUCAUGCUGAUGAAAUUCCUUUCUAGUCCUAGUUUGCUGAAGCCUUUUAUCAGAAUUCAGUAAUGGUUUUUCUUGCAUGCUUUUUCUGGGUCUGUUGAAGUGAUAAUAGGAUUUUUCGUUUUUAGAUUGUUAGUAUGGUGAGUUGCAUUGAUUGGCCUGUGUUACACAGGCCUGUUGCAUCCUGGGAUAAACUUUACUUGGACAUAAUAUAUUAUGCUGUUUGUAUAUUUUUGGACUUGAUUGGCUAAAAUUUUGUUUAGAAGUUUUGCAUAUGUUCAUGAAGGAUACUAGUGUAUAAUUGUUUUGUGUGGUAUCUGCCUUGUUUAGGGAUCAGGUUAAUGCUGGUCUCACCAAAUGAGAAAUACUUUUUCUUUUUGAUUUUCUGGAAGACUUUCAUUACUUUGAUAUAAAUUCUACUUUGUAGAAUUUACCAGUGAAGCCAUCUGAAAUUUCCACGUGUGAGGUCUAACAACCCUUUGUAUCAGGCCUAUCCAGCUUUGGAGGCUGCGUUCUGGAGAUCUUUGAACACAGCUGGACUCUCAGGAUUUUCUGUCAGCAACUUACAGUUCCUCAAUUCGUUCAAGCUUGCAUUCAACAAAUAGUUGAGGACCUAUGGUGAGGCAGUCGCUUGCCUCCUGUGAACAGGUACAUUCGAGGUUCACCAGACAACCAGUGCCCUCUAAGUUACCGCCACCUCCCCUAGGCCACUGGAAAGGAAGAGACCGCUGAUUGCCAUGACAACUAUCUAAAUUGAACCAGAAACAUGGAAGUCUUGUAUUUGAAUGUAAAGCUAUACCAGUUCACCCAUUUCACAAACCUGUCGAGCACUUUCCCAGGUGUUUUGGGGUUUACAAAGAUAAAAGACAGUGUCUCUGACCUUAACAAUCUGGCGGAUUUCAAAUUCUCUCACGAAGCCUAUCUAAUUAAAUCCUUGAGUUAAGACCAUUCUCUGUGGUGAGAGUACGGGUGAUGGGACAUAUUCCUGUUUGCUGAACAAACUGAAGCUCUGAAGGGCAACCUGAUUCACGUAGUAUCACAUCCAGUGAGGGGAAAUGCUAGAAGUACAUUCAAAGACUCCAUUUCAGUAAUCUUUAACAUGACUCUGCCCUGAUUUUGAGUCCAAGGGAUUCCUUCAGAAAAGAACUUAGAAGCGAUUUGGUCUAUCAGCCAACAUGUGGGAACAAUUGGAGUUUGGAGAACCUUUUUCUACAGUGAUACAAUAGCGGAUGUUGUCCAACUUCACACCUUGCAAGUAUGGUGCUGCCUACGCAUUGCCUGAGAGGAUAUAAUCAUCACCACGGUAUGGAAGGAGAUCAUUCUUUGGAGUGGACAGUUCGCGAUUCAAACACCAACCCCUCACAGCUCAAAUAUGAUAUUAAUUUCCACGUGCCUCCAUUUUCUGAGAAGUUCUGCUGACCUACUUCGUCGAACCGGUAGAAGAGACUUAGACGGUCCUGAGGAUUUUAAAUCAACUUUGAAAAAGUCCAACUUGUGAUAUAUAAGAUCUCUAGAAACCUCAGAAUUUCCAUGCAUCUCUAUUUAUGAUACUGGUUCUCAAACUAUGCUUACACAAAAUACCAUUUUUUCAGUUUCAGCCAAGGUGCUGUGCCAUUAAAUAUGAAAAAUAACAGUCUUUCCAAUUUUUCAGAAAAAUAAAUUUAAUGGAGUAUCUUUCAAUUCUAAGGUUUCCCACCACAUUAAAAAAAAAUGUUUGGUUACAGCUACUUGUUGCCUUUAUUGCUAUCUAAUAAAACCUGGUGUCAUAUUAUAUAUUCUGUUAUUUUAAAUUUAAUACAUCAAUAUUAAACGGUGUUGUGCAAAGAUCACUAUUACUUCCAGAUGUUCUACUAACUGACAAGUUCAAGGAUAUGGUGUAUGUUGGCUUCAGUUAAAAACUAAAAGAGAGAUAAUGUUAAUAACACAUACAAAUUAGAAAACUAAACACUAAGAAUUCUGUUAUAACUGCUAAUCACUUCUUACUUUCUUGAAAAGCCCAUGCCUUGAUUACAAAUAUCACAGGCAAAUGCAUUCAAUGAAUUCAAUUGCCACGCUCCUAUGAAAUUAUGAUUUUCUGAUGGGCUCAAAUAACUUUCCUAAAGGAAAGAUACUUUUUUUUCUUUAACCACAAAAAUUAUUAUUCUUGACAUUAGAAGUAUAAGUGGGACAAGAAAAUUUAUUCCUUGUUUUUUAAUGCUUCCAGAAGUGGUCUUUAUUGCUGUACUGGGUCUGUGAAGAACAUAUACAAAGGCACCUCUCAACUGGCACUCACAAAUAGAAGCUUUGAAAAUCUGCACCUAUAAAAUGCAUGCAUUUCCUGAACUGGUAGCUGCUUUAUUCAACAGACCAUUAAAAGCCCAUUUAGAGAGGCUCUCGCAAGCUCGUAUGCACUACUGCUACUUAAAGCUGAUGAACACAGCGUAGCAAGAAACAAAAUAAAACAAAAAGUUGGACCAACUUUUUGGGAGAAAAAAAAGCUCUUUCCCCAGACCUAAAUUUCCUCCAACACUAACACUCGUAUAAAGAACAGGUAAUGUGACAAAAUUGCCCCACUUCCAAUCUCCCAGCCAAAAAUCCAACACCCCUCCACCCCUCCAAGUAUCAAUCAUCAGCCCAGGCAAGGCAAAUGAACUUUUAAUCAAUAACAGCUACUGUUUCUUGUACCAGGACUGUUUAUGAUUUAAAAGGGGGAAAAAUUUAAAUCAAUCCUGAUGUGAAUGUUUUCCCUCUUGAAGAGAAAAAGCAACACCCUGUGUCAAAAGGCAGGAUGGGGGGGGGGGGUGUAGUUUCACAUGUUUUAAAAAAUAUGUUAAAACAAAAUAAAUUUGAAAUUGUUUUUGCCCUCAGUAGCUAUAGGAAGAAGAGUAGCUACGUAGAGUUGAUGAGUCAUGUUAGACAAACGGCUUCAAUUUAUGUCCACACCAUUGCAUUUCCUGUUUAUAUUCAUACAUUGGUAUGGAUUAAUAGAGCUAAAAGGGAAUUUAGGGAACAUCUGUCCAAAGAUCGGUGCUUUGGGGCCCCCGUCACUGGAACUGUUGAGGUGACAGAACGAAUCGGCUGAGAAGUCGGAGGGAGAAUUCAAACCACCAAUGUAACAACAGGUUUUUAGAUUAUAUUGGUGGGUGAAACUGAUCAUCUAUGGAAGCCUCAACUGUGAAAUCUGCAAAAGUAGAUCUGCUCUGGCUGCAGAUUCUUGCCCCUCUCCCUAUCCGUAGCCAAAAGGCAACCUUUGCCUGGAAUUUCCAGGAUGUUACUAAAAACGUUUGUAAACCCAGAACCAGACACCUUUAAGCGCCUCCCCCCCACCCCCCGCAACACCCCGAGGUGUUCUGAUUCUUCCCUCCAUGUUUCUUCUAUUCCUCUAGGCUACAUCCACAUAGGUGCAGCUAAACACCAUAAAUCCUCAUAAUAUGGUAAUCAGGUCUUCCUGCAUCUUGAGUUUUCCCACAGCCAGAGAGAAAUCAAGGUGGACUCUUUAUGAGGCCUGCUGCAUUAUUUUGGCAUGUUUGCACAAACCAGAAAUAACUUCUCCAAAGAUUACUGAAAUGAAAUCAUCUUUCACCUAAUUGGGAAAGGCUUUUGCCCAGUUUUAGAGAGUAACACACUGGGGAGGCAGUGGGGGAUGAUGAUGGGAGUGAUUUCUUGACUGUUUUCUUUUACAGUUUGCUGAAAUGGAACAAAUCAAUCCUGUCUUGCUUAUUUAUAAAACCUUAACACCAAUGGGGUGGGGAGAAUUAAUGAGACCAGGCACAAGGAAUGUGGAGAUUUUCAUUUCUAAACUGCUGGCACACAGACAUGCAUUAGUGUCUUGUAGCUUUUCAAGGGCGCUGAAGAAAUGAGUUUUCUGCCUUUUACAACUUUCAGUGGAGAGCGUGCAUUUGCACAUAGUUACUCACCACUGUAACUGGCAACCAGAAGAAGGAUCCAGAAAAGAAGCCCACAUUUUUUAAAAACUAGGAUACUGUACCCUCACAUGUACCCAAAGAACACAGUGAUAACUGUUGACCCUCAGAAAAGAAUGAACACGUAACUAGUAACACAAAAGACAUAGCAGCCUUUCAGGGUGUAUUUAGUCCUCAUACUCUCUCUGUGAUAAGGAAAAUGAGUCUCCAAAGGAUCGAGCGAUCUGUUCAAAGAGGCACAACAAGUUCUUUUCACUUUUCUAAGAAACGUUUUCCUGGGAAGUGGAGGAAGACUUUUGAUCGGUAUUAAACACUAUAUUAACUUGUGCAUAAUUAAAAGCUGAUGUCUGUCAGCCACAGUAACCAUGCUGCACCUGCUGUGUUUUUCUGCUCUGGAGCCCACUUAGGAAUAGCUGAUGUCCUCAAAAUGUCUUGCAAAUUCCUUGAAACUGUCGUCUCUGCCAGUGUUUACUCCGGGGACACUGAUACCUGUGCAGAGGGUACCAUCUGCCGGUGCCUGCAAAGUGGCUAAGUCACAAGAUGGAACUUCCGCUCAUGGAUCCUCCCUGUAAAAAAGUUCUGCUUUGCUCCCCGGCAAAGGAGGAGAAUGGCCCUUCAAUGGAAUAUAUACUCCAUUUCAUCUCCUGUGCCCUAUAGCUACACUGCUUGAGUUACCCCAUGUCCCCGGGUAUUUCAGGAAAAGGACCCUUUCGGCAUUUGUUGGUGGUUUCUCUUUGUGUCUGGGACACGGGUGCACAAGAGUCCACACUUUCCCCCACGUCCCACUUCUGUCCUCCAUGUCCAAACAGCUCUAACUCCUGCCUGUGGCCUUUACUACUUGGCUUUUACUUCAGUGCUUCUAAUUUGGUUGACGGCUCUUCAUUUAGAAGGAGAAAGCCAUCCAGCUCAUCAGCUUCAUGACCCACACAAACCAGAUGAUCAGGCAACAGAAGAAAAUAUUAAAGUAUGAAUAUAGGGGCAAGAGUUCAUAUUUCUCUCCCUUAAUGCGCUUGGAGCCUUGGAAGGUAAUUAUAAGUAUGUAUGUAUUUAGACUUCUGUCAUUGAUGGUAAGCUGUUUGGAAAUUCAAUGAUGGCUUGUCAGACUCUAGGUAAGGAGGUGGAAUUUUCCAUUACCAAGAUGAUUACUUAUUAUGUUUAGUGCCUUGGACACCGUGGGCAUUUGUGACAAAAUGAAUAACAGUGAGUCCAGGGGAAGGGCAUUUGGAAAAAAAGAAAUGCCUACUUUUAGAACCACCAUUAGUCUUGGCAAACAAGGAUUCCUGCCUCAAGCCCCAUGUCUUAUGGAGGUCUGUGCUUUGAAGCGUCUCCCUCAACAUUUUCCAGUCCCCUUCUACUGCCUAUGAACAGGUGGAGCCCACAAUGCUCCAGGCAAGACUUUCCCCGCCCAGAUAGAAACCCACAUAGAUCUCAGUCAACCUGCUAUCCCGUUUGUAGGUUCAACCAGGGGCUGUGAGAAGCUCUGAGACUUGUCACCCAUGGGGCCAUCCCAGGGCCUCAAGAGGCUGAAAUGGCAAGUGGAUCACUCCCACUGGCUGGUGUGGAAUUUCUUUGGUGGGAGCACAUGAGAUCGGGCCUCCAGAAUGGGGCUGACACACUAAUUUGGGGGACUCCAGGUGUUAUCUAUAUUUAUACAGAUAAAUUUUUCCAGAGCUUCACAUAUCUUAGAGUGAUCCAACCUGCCUUCGGGGCAUGAACCACUCAUAAAGAUAGAUUGCUCUUAGGGAGGAUCUUAACAAUGACUUGCAGUCCAACAUAACAUUCUUUUAAGCUUCUCAAAGAUGGAAUUCGUGAUUCUUACUGACAUGGCUUCUCAGAGACUGGCCCAGUGCUAAGCAUAUCCUAGACAUUAAAAACACAUUUGAUUAAUAUUGCAGUCUCUUCCAUCUGUCCAUCCAUCCAUCCAUCCACCCAUCCAUCCACUCAAUAAUCUCUUCUAAUAUAUUAUUCCCUGCUUGCAGGACAGGUGGAUUCUCAGAGUUUCCAAAACACAGUGGACUGAGGACCAGUAACAUUCCUAAAAGUGUAUUCUCAGAAAGGUAUGCUGACCAAUAAGGACUAAUAAAUAAGGAAAACUGCAUUGAAGGUGGAAUAUGGAGUGAACUUCUCUAAGAUGAAGACUUACAUGUACGAGGAAAAUCUUAUCCAGGUUUCAAGGAAAGCAACAUUGUCAUUUGCUC